GGGGAUGUGGCUCAGUGGUAAAGCACUUGCCUUGCAUGCAUGAGGCACUGGGUUCAAUCCUCAGCACCACA
This 71-nucleotide transfer RNA is filed under the name Marmota monax (woodchuck). Its description in RNAcentral is "tRNA.Ala". It matches the Rfam family "tRNA". Rfam says of the family: Transfer RNA (tRNA) molecules are approximately 80 nucleotides in length. Their secondary structure includes four short double-helical elements and three loops (D, anti-codon, and T loops). Lineage: Eukaryota; Metazoa; Chordata; Mammalia; Rodentia; Sciuridae. The record is from RNAcentral.